ACGGCUAGCGGCAGGCUUAACACAUGCAUGUCGAGGGGUAACAGGGAGCUUGCUCCGCUGACGACCGGCGCACGGGUGCGUAACGCGUAUACAAUCUACCUUGUACUAUUGGAUAGCCCAGAGAAAUUUGGAUUAAUACAAUAUAGUAUUAUAUAUCGGCAUCGAUUUUAUAAUUAAAGGUUACGGUACAAGAUGAGUAUGCGUCCUAUUAGUUAGUUGGUAAGGUAACGGCUUACCAAGACAUCGAUAGGUAGGGGCCCUGAGAGGGGGAUCCCCCACACUGGUACUGAGACACGGACCAGACUCCUACGGGAGGCAGCAGUGAGGAAUAUUGGACAAUGGGCGAGAGCCUGAUCCAGCCAUGCCGCGUGCAGGAAGACUGCCCUAUGGGUUGUAAACUGCUUUUAAACGGGAAGAAACACUCCGACGUGUCGGAGCUUGACGGUACCGUAAGAAUAAGGAUCGGCUAACUCCGUGCCAGCAGCCGCGGUAAUACGGAGGAUCCAAGCGUUAUCCGGAAUCAUUGGGUUUAAAGGGUCCGUAGGCGGGCAGCUAAGUCAGUGGUGAAAGUCUGCAGCUCAACUGUAGAAUUGCCAUUGAUACUGGUUGUCUUGAAUUAGUAUGAAGUGGUUAGAAUAAGUAGUGUAGCGGUGAAAUGCAUAGAUAUUACUUAGAAUACCAAUUGCGAAGGCAGAUCACUAAUACUAUAUUGACGCUGAUGGA
RNAcentral lists this ribosomal RNA (723 nucleotides) under uncultured Flavobacteriaceae bacterium. RNAcentral describes it as "bacterial SSU rRNA". It matches the Rfam family "Bacterial small subunit ribosomal RNA", at positions 33 to 753 of the family's 1533-position model. Lineage: Bacteria; Pseudomonadati; Bacteroidota; Flavobacteriia; Flavobacteriales; Flavobacteriaceae. The record is from RNAcentral.